This 1261-nucleotide long non-coding RNA is filed under the name Monodelphis domestica (gray short-tailed opossum). RNAcentral describes it as "lncRNA (ENSMODG00000043041.1)". Lineage: Eukaryota; Metazoa; Chordata; Mammalia; Didelphimorphia; Didelphidae. The record is from RNAcentral.
GAAUGAGGAGGAGACAUACGUCCUGGUAUUAGGGGAGCCAGCCAGGCUCAGGAGGGAAAAGCUUUGUGUUGCAUUUAAUCAUACACACUGUGAUGUCUAUGCUACAGCACUCCGGCCAGUACCUGGUGUGUGGUGUGAGGCCCACUCAAACUGAGUUCAUUUCAUUUCUCGGGCUUAACAUACACUUUUAUUUUCCUGAUGUUCUUGGAUGUCAUUCUCAGCAUCUCGGUUUCUGUGGAGGCCAAACCUCGAGAAAGAAAGCCAAGUCUCCAUUGUCGCGAGUGGUUGAUCCAGGAGCGAAGGGAAGCUGGGCCAUGGAGUGGGCUCAGCAGAGUCAGGGAAGCCCUCUGGGAUGCAGACAGAGCAGGAAAGCUUCCACUGCUCGCCCUGUGUAGAUGCAAUUCAGACUCCUGGUGGUGCGAGGAGUAUGGGAAAGGCGCGUGGCACCCCUCUGAAGAGCAGGCCCCCUUCAUUAGGUUUCCCCUACACGUUUGACUAAACCAUAAGUGCUUCUUACAACUUAGCUCCAUCCAAGACUUGUUUAAUGUCUAGCAGUAUUGGAGGCCACAAACAAGAGCUCAAGCCCUGUCACAUUUGUGGACUCAACUUGUUCCUUCUCUAUUCAUUUUCUUUUUCUUUCUUUUUUUUCCUCUUAAAAUUUAUCUACUCAGAGCAUAACCAAAGACCUCACCCCCAGGCCACUGGUAGGUUCAGCUAACAGGGAGCUGCUGGGCAUGGCUGGAAGGGUAGAAAGCAAGAAGGAAGGGAAAGGGGGGAGUUCUUUACCUCAGCCAGCAGCUGCCUUCAUUUGGGACCGAAAAAGCAUUAGCAGAAUCACCAUGCUCCACCUGGAAUCGGGUGGUCUUGGCUUUGGAUGGAGCCUUGCAGGCUCUGUGGGCUGCCCCUGGCACCAGUCUGGAAGCUGGAUGCCGUUCACUCGAGUUGGUUGGAGCAAACCAGCUGCGACCCAGUUGGAUGAACAUGGGUGUCCAUCUGGGUACUAGAUCUCUAUGUAAGACAAGGUCAGUCCGGGCUGGUAGAUCAGGAUGCACAGAGGAAGUGUCCCCCUUUCUACAAAUUUCAAAGGGUAAUAUAUACAGAAAAGAAACAUUCUCUUGUGAAAUAUACUUUUGUAAAUAAUAUUUAAUUUUUUUAAAUAAUAUAUUUGGUGCUGUUUUCUCAGAGCCCCUGAGAGCACUUUUUAUUUUUGUUUUGAAAUUCUGCUGUUUCCUCUGCAUUUUUUGAAGUCUGUUUUAAGGGA